GCGGGAGCGGCAGGCGUCGAGCAGAUGGCCUCGUCUGCCUGCGUUUCUGCGGUUCAUCUCGUCGCGGCGGUUGGACUGUCGGCGGCAUCAUCUUCGUGGGAGGACAGCCGGAUUCUAGCAGCAACCUGAGCAUGGACUCCCGUUGUUGCCGCGGCUGGAGAAGCGGCAUCUCGUACGUGUUUGUCUCCGGAUUGGAUCGAGUAAGGGGACUCCCCGCGAUCUCGUUCUCCACCAGCACCCGAGGUCUCAGACCUCCACUAGCCUCUGAAAUCGACCUCGACCUCUGUACGUUGAGCUCCAACCUUCGACCCGACCUCAAGAUCCCGUUCAAGUUCUCCAACCUUCAGCUGCCUCCCAAGGUUCUGCUUUUUCUGAUGGUACUAUCAAAAAGCUAGCUGCAGCUUCAUUUUUCAACUGGAAAGGAGAGUACACAAAAACAUUGACCACAGUGGGACUACGGAGACAAUAAUUCGUAACACUUUGAUCAAUUUUUGUUUUUCCCCGUGUCUGGUCGGUACAAGUAACUUUAGGGAUUUAAAUUUUCGAAUUUUUGUUUCCGUAACCUUGGAGCUAGCUAAAAGUCAGUACCAAAAUCUAUGAUUCGUGAGAUAGAAAGAACAUGAACCUUCUUUUUCAAUAAAGAAAAUAAGAAGAACCUGAACCUAAAGUUUUCAAUAAAGAAAAUAAGAAGAACCUGAACUUAAAGUUAACAGGAUUUUUUUGGCCAUCUGCAAAUUUAGCUGCCUGAAUGCAAGUUCCAAACUGUAUCAGGCGGCAGUGGAUUAGUGCAUGCAUAGUCUCUUCUGACCCUGAUGUAAUUUUUCAGCUUUUUUUGUUUUGAAAUAUAGUGCUUUCCAAAAAUUUCUUGCUGCUGGUUCAUGAGUGGCAUGGAGUUGUGUCCAAACUAACAUUUUCUAUAAAAUAUAGGGAUGAAUUUCACCACGUUAGAUUUUUUCCCAAAACCAUCAGAAAGUUAUUUAGAGUAUAUUAAGUAGAAUCUGUUUAUUUUAAUGCUUUGUUUAUUCCCAGGGCCAUUGAAAACAGUUAAGGUCACGUUUUGAGAAUGAGACAUGCCGGUUUUUCUUACUCGUUUUUGUUUUUCUGGCACAUGAAGCCAUACGGGUUGUUGUUUGAUGGUGUGGUACUAAGCAGACACCCUACAAUGCCAGUAGCUAUGUUGCAUGAUUUUAUUGUCAUUUCAAGGCAUGCUGGUAAUUCUUACGUCAGGCAGAAGGUUCGAUUCUUAUUUAACACCUGCU
Long non-coding RNA from Lolium rigidum, 1259 nucleotides. RefSeq lists it as uncharacterized. The record is from RefSeq and is a predicted model, not a curated record. NCBI's taxonomy places the organism in Eukaryota, Viridiplantae, Streptophyta, Magnoliopsida, Poales, Poaceae. The transcript has 3 exons.